This 501-nucleotide RNase P RNA is filed under the name uncultured Dysosmobacter sp. RNAcentral describes it as "Bacterial RNase P class A". It matches the Rfam family "Bacterial RNase P class A". Rfam says of the family: Ribonuclease P (RNase P) is a ubiquitous endoribonuclease, found in archaea, bacteria and eukarya as well as chloroplasts and mitochondria. Its best characterised activity is the generation of mature 5'-ends of tRNAs by cleaving the 5'-leader elements of precursor-tRNAs. The record is from RNAcentral. Lineage: Bacteria; Bacillati; Bacillota; Clostridia; Eubacteriales; Oscillospiraceae.
GUAAGACAGACAGUCGCGCGGCCAGGCCGAAAGGCCGUCCGUGAGGAAAGUCCGGGCUCCACAGGGCAAGGAUAACGGGUAACGCCCGCCGAAGGCGACUUCAGGAAAAGUGCAACAGAGAUAUACCGCCUCGUCGUCGCAAGCUCCAUAUCCUUCGCUUCCGCCUUGCGGCGAAAGCUCACUCAUUUCGCUGCUCCUCCUCUUCCGAAAAGAACCGCUUCGCUGGGUUCUUUUCGGAGUGGGGGACGGGGGACGAGAAGGACGGAGGGUAAGGAGCUUGCGACGACGAGGUAAGGGUGGAAAGGCGGAGAUAAGCGCCCGCCCGAUGACUGGAAACUGCUCAUCGCUGUAAACUCUAUCCGGAGCAACACCGGUAUGGGAGCAGGGGGUCCGACCCCCAGGGCUGGCCCGGCCGCUCCCGGGGUGGCUGGAGCGUAUCGGCAACGAUGCGUCGAGAUAGAUGACUGUUUGAUACAGAACCCGGCUUACAGUCUUGCUCGU